UUUGUAUUUGUCACAGCCUUUCCCUUUCUCCUGUCCGUGAGCCGUGCUCCAGGAUGGGAGCUGUGGAAUUCCCGUGGAACAGCCUCAUGAUGUCACAGGUUCCCUGCAUCGUGGCUGGCAGAGCCCCGCAUGCACCAGACGCCUGGUGCCUGAGUUUCCUCCUGGCUCUGAAGCAAGAAGCUGCAGCCUCUGCAUUCUUUGGGUGGAGCUUCGAGCUCCUUGUGAAAGCUCUUGGGACCCCUGAGACUGCUCCCCCAGGCGCCGCACUCAGCCCUGGAUGUGGGUUGAGAAGGAGACAGUGGAAAGGCGCGGGGUCCAUCUUCCCAGUUUCCAGCAAGGUCUUGUGAAAACUGCACUUGAUUCUAGCAGGCACGGCCCGGGCGGUUCCACUUUCUCCUGAGAUGGGACCUAGAUGACUGUCUGUCUUUCAGAGGGGCUCUGACUUCUCACUAGGAACUGAGAAAAGCAGAAUCUCCCUCCAGCUCAUCCGCCUGCACGUCCCUGUGCCGCCGGAUUUCUAGGACCUUCAGGGAGCCCCACCACCGGCUCCCGAGGACACCGGCUGCGUGCACUUGGCCGCGUGUUCCUGGGGAGCCGAAGCAGGGACUGUCCUGUGUGCUCCCUUGACUCUCCCAGGUGCUCUCAGCGCAAAGCCAAGAGGAGUCAAGACUCACCUUGGUCCUGAGUCACUCACCUUAACAUACACAGCACUUUUACCAUCACUGAGAAAAAGGCAAACCCACUAGAAAAACAUCGUGCCGCUUAUUUCUCAAAGGAGCAGAGCUGUGACCGUGAACACGAGAAUGUCUCCAGCUUCCCGUGUCAUCGGGGGAGCUUGCGCCUUGUCCUCUAACUGGAGCAUGUGUGGGCGCCGGGCAGACCAGCACCCUCGGCUCCAUCUGGACGCCUGGUCACUUAAGGUCCAAGUGGAAUUUGGAGAGAGACAAAGACGCAUUUUUGCCUUAACUUGACAACUUUCUUGCCAUACUUGCUUUGCUUUUGUCUUUUCCUGAAAAUUCAUGACGAGUGGAUGGCCGUGAAACAAGCACUUUUGGGCACUGCUGGGACAGAUUUUUCUGGAAUGCACUUUGGCAUCCAGAAAUUUGCACCAGGAUCCAGCCAUUCCAGUGGCAGGACCUGGAAGCUGCGUGAGUCACCUUUCCUCUCCCUGACCUCUGGUUGCUCACAUCGGCACACCCAGCCCUGUUUUCAGGGGCUCUUGCCCCUCUUGCCAAACACAGUCCCUGCCCUGGCCGUGGCCCCAAAUGGCCCUGAGGAUGGAGCAUCUUUCCUGUGUCCAUGGAUCUGGGCGGGGGCUGAGAGGGAGCCCCCCCGACCCCCGCCUCAGGUGUCCACUCUGCUUGGGCCAAAUCAGACCACAUGUCUCAGCCCUCUGGAGCUGUGAGUCUUGGUGGCCCCACCGCUGGGAUGAACACAGCACAGCUGUGCUCCUGGAGGGAGCCUCUGCAGCUAGAUCCCCACCACCUGUCCCAGCCCCGGCCUUCCCACUCCUGCGAGUAUCCAUGUGAAGGCUCCCAAACCACAAGAUCAGAAACCCAGAUCUGUCGGAAUCCCUGUUCCCGGUUCUUGGCUUCCAUUUUCUCUGUUGUCCUCCCUGAGAUCACCCCCAUGCCGGUCCCAUGAGAUCUGGACUUUGUCCUGUUCAUCGCAGCUGAAUCCCCGGCACCCAGGAGAGGCCUGCGCACGACAUUAAUCAUGGUAACAAUAAUCACGAUCAUGUCUCCUGUACAGCAGACACUGUUACAAGCAGUCUGCGUGAACACAAUCAAUGGGUCCUCAUGCCAGCCCUUGGGGGAGACGUCAGCUUCCUGUCCCGGUUUGUGGAUGAAGCAGCAAGGCUCUGGAAAGCUUGCUCCCAAGCCUGUGCACCUCACCACGGGCCGAACUUCUUUCUUCCUUGGAAACUUGUCAAGUCUCCCAAACAGAAAGACCUCCUUGGAGAGCUGCACAAAGAUCCAUGGAUGAGGAUGUCCCUAACAUAUUUUUAAUAGGGAAUUUGGCAACACCCAAGUGUCUACGACAGAAGUGGGACUUGGGUGAGGGCGGCUUACCAGCACAUCAGGGCUGUCUGCGGAGAGCGGCUUACCAGCAUGACAGGGCUCUCUGUGGCCUUGGGAGUCCUGGCUGAGGGAUUCUCAUGUUCACGGGAUGUAUUUUAGUCUAUUUUGUGCUGCUAUCUUAGAAUACCACAGACGGGGUAAUUGAUAAUGAACGAAAUUUACGGGCCCACAGUUCUGGAGGCUGGAAAGUCCAAGGCUGAGGGGAAGCAUGGGGUGGGACCCUCUUGCUGUGUCAUCCCAUGGCCCAGGGUGGAGGGCAGCAGGCAGGGGGAGGAAAGGGAGUACCCAAGAGAGGGUUGAGCUGGUCCUUUAGUGAGGAACCCACUCCUGCCAUAAUGGCAUUGACCCAUUCCUGAGGGCGGAGGCCUCAUCACCUCCUAGAGCCCCCACCUCCCCACGCUGUUGCUUUGGGGAUUCCGUCUCCAGCACACGCUUUUGGAGAAACACAUUCAGACUGUAGCGUGUGGAAGAUGAGGACGCACCAGCAGUGAAGAAGCAGAACGCCAGGCGUUUUUACAGUAUGAUUCGCAUUUAACUUAAAAGCACGUAAAGAAAAGAGAUUGGAAGGAAACACACCAAAAUAUUUACAUUGGUGACAGCAGGCUUGGAGAACACAGAUGAAUUCCACGUUCUCCUGUAUACUUUCCUCAGUGCAGUACAUUUUCUACAAAUAUUAUCUGCUACUUCCUUAAAAAGGAAAAUGCAAUUUAGAAACUUUGAAUUCCAGAUUGUGUCUCCCUGAGAAGCAGUGUUCCCUCCAAAGAUUCUCCACCCUUCACGUCUUUACACAUGCGGGUGCCCGGUAGUGAGACUCUGCACGUGGGGUCAGGAUUUAGGGGCUUCCAACCUGGCUGGCGGCUGCUGGGGUGGAGGGCAGGGCUCUGUGUUUCAAGUGGGGAAUCCCCGUGCUCCCCAAGACACAGCAGGGUGCUGGGAAUCUGCCCACCAUGGGACCCAACUCUCCAGACCUUGCCUUGUCUCUAUUUUCUUGGGGGGCUUCUCCGAAAGCCAGUUGUAAGGGCAGCGGGAGGUUGGAGGCUUAGUUCCCCAGGCCUGAGAUUUUGGGACAUAGAAGGCCUGCAAACAGAAGGCAGUAUUGCAGCAUCCAAACAGUGUCUGGUGGCACCUUAGCCAGAACUCAUCUCAGACUAGGCAUGGACAGGCACCUUGCUAACCCGCACCAUGGAACUAACAGUGCCAUGGCAGACACAAAACCAACUGUGUUCACUGAUGUAGUGCCUGGACGCCACAAAUGAUGUGCUCACUUUUUUUGUUGUUGUUUAAUUUUUUUUUUUUUUAGAUGGAAUCUUGCUCUGUUGCCCAGGCUGGAGUGCAGUGGUGCAAUCUUGGCUCACCGCAACCUCUGCCUCCCGGGUUCAAGCGAUUUUCCUGCCUCAGCCUCCCCAGUAGCUGGGACUACAGGCGCGUGCCACCACGCGUGGCUAAUUUUUUGUAUUUUUAGUAGAGAUGGGGUUUCACUGUGUUAGCCAGGAUGGUCUUGAUCUUCUGACCUCAUAAUCUGCCCUCCUCAGCCUCCCAAAGUGCUGAGAUUACAGGUGUGAGCCACUGCGUCCAGCCACUUACUUAUUUUUACUGAUUAUAGAGAUUAUAAAGCUAUUGCUUGUCUAUAAAAGAAAAUUUAAAAAAUUAUGUACGUAUGUAUGAAUACAUGAACAUGCGUAGGUGAGUGCAUGCACGUAACAGAAUUUGCUUAUAAUCCACUGGUAUAGCUAAUGGCUAAACUCUUGGUACCUUGAGUCAUUUUCUCAUUAUGUCCAUAGAUAAGUACUUUAUUUUUACAAAAUGAGAAUUAUGAGAAAUGUACUAUUUCAUACAGUUUUUUCCUUUAAUAAUAUACGUGGUCAUUUUAUGUUUAUUAAAUGUUUUCCUCUUAUAUACAUAAAAAUAAUUGCAUCUUAUUCUAUCAUGUGGAUGUAUAAAGAAUUUAUUUAACAAGUUUCUGUUGCUGUGCAUUUGACUUGGAAGUCCAAGGGGCCAGCAUCUGGCCAGGGCC
This 4095-nucleotide long non-coding RNA is filed under the name Homo sapiens (human). RNAcentral describes it as "HSALNT0406702". The record is from RNAcentral. Lineage: Eukaryota; Metazoa; Chordata; Mammalia; Primates; Hominidae.